Molecule: long non-coding RNA, 2001 nt
Filed under: Homo sapiens (human)
Lineage: Eukaryota; Metazoa; Chordata; Mammalia; Primates; Hominidae
Description: HSALNT0065928
Source: RNAcentral
CUGGGCCUAUGGCUUUUUCAAUUUCCCAGUAUACAGGCCUGCUUUUGAAUGUCUUCAUUUCCCAGAGUCUCACUCCAGCUUCUCCUCUGGGUCUUAGAUGAUCUAUUGUGUAGCUCCACCUGUAAUGUCUCGCCACAGGUGUCUGUGGAGCUUUUUAAAGCAGACUCCCAUGCCUGCGACCCUAGGUUAAAGAGGGAGAUUAGCCCUCCAGGCAGCCCCACAAAGAUGUUAAAACAUUGCAAAUAAGGUCUGAUCUGCUCCUUCUGUUCUAAAGGAGGAUAUUGGGCAUGGGCUGCUGCAUCUCCCUGUGCCACACCAGGGAAAGUGUGGGUCAAGGGUCUGACUGUUUACUAUGUGCUUCCCACAACUUUUGCUGCCUUGGACCCAGUUCUGACUUGGCUGUUUGAGGGGAAGCAGUUGGUGAGUCAAGCAGACACUGUCAGCUGACUUAAUUGGCACCAGAGCUUCACCAACGUGAAGACGGACUCCUUGUGGAGGCACCAGCUGCCCUGCAGAGGUGGAGGAACUGAUGCUGUUGCCUUGUAAUGCUUGUUCUGAUGCCUGCUGCCACAUGUUCAAUCCCUAUCAUCACCUUCAGUGCCUGUGUCAAACAUGACCUCCUCCAGGUAGCCUCUCAGACUCUUGGGUUAGAAGUCUUUCCCCUCUGAACUCCCAUGGCAUUUUAUCUGUUCUUCUUCUACAAAACUUACUGCUGGCUACUUUCCGUUAGAGGUCUCUGUGCUCACAUCUUAUUCCUUUAUUAGACUGUAAGCUCCCUGUGGGCAGAAACUAGGUCUUAAUCAUACUGUGUCCUUAGAUCCUGGCAUAAUGUCAGUAGGUAAAUAUGUGUGGACCUGAAUUGAAUCAGCUGGUCAUCUGAUUUUAUAAACAAGAGGGGAAAUCUGGAUCGUAUAUGUAUGAUCUAUUUGAAACCACAGGUUCAUGGAAAUCUAACAGGUCUUUGGAAAUUAUCUAGAGGCCUCCUCAUUUUAUCGUUGUGAAACUGAAGCAUAGACUUCAAUGCCUUCUCAUGGUCACGUGUCUGGAGAAUCAUAUCUUGCACUUGGACUCAGGUUCCUGGACCUCCAUCCCAGGUGUCCUGCCCUGACAAAUGAGUGAGCGAGUGAGUGAGCAGACACGCCUUGGAAAGGGCCAGUAGGUCAUUCCCAGAACCACAGCUGGCUUUGGGAGUCAGCUUGCCCCUCACUCACUCACCCAGGAUGAUUUUGAAGUCAGAAGGGCUGAGCAAGUCUGAAUCACGUAGGGUCGGAUCUUCCGGAUCGAGUGACUGGUGGAGGCAGUGUGCGGCGGUCACGAUCCAGCUGGAGCCUGGGGAACAGAACACACGUCUCAUCGUCCUGCACUACUGGGUCUUGCCUCCCUCUGUCUUGAGCUGAGGAUCUUCAGGCUACUCCAGAGGACCCCUCAAGACCUUGAAAAUGGCCAUGCUUCUCUCCAUUGUAUUUUAUGGCCCCCAACUCAAAUGCUCAUAUGAUCCUAAUCUGAAGAUGAGGAUUUAAAUCUGUGAUUUUUACCUGCCUAUUCCAACCAAGGCCAGGACUGAACAUUGUAAACAGGAUUUCAGGGAUCCUUUAAGCCCAUGGCAUUGGUGAGAGCCAGAGAGCCCAAGGUGGGUGCACAGAAAGCCUGUGGUCAACUGGCUGCCUUCUCAGGCCUUGCUUCUCAAAGUGUGGUGCCUGGACCAGCAACAUUAGCAUCACUUGGAGGCUUCUUAGAAAUGAAGACUCUUAGGCCGGCCCCACCUCUGAUCCACUGAAUCAGAAUUUUCAUUUUAACAAGACUCUCCAGUAAUUUGUAUGCAUAUUAAAGUUUAAAAUUGAUGAAUCCGAAGCUACCUACACUGGCUGCACGUUAGAAUUACCUGGUGAAUGAAAAAAGAGUAAAUCAGUGUCUGGACCUAUAUCUAGACCAUUUAUGUCAUGGGGGUGGAGCCCAAGCACAGAUAAUGUUUUAAACAUUUCCUUAGUUAAUUCUACUGCU